This 94-nucleotide small nucleolar RNA is filed under the name Exophiala dermatitidis NIH/UT8656. RNAcentral describes it as "A. fumigatus snoRNA Afu_190". It matches the Rfam family "A. fumigatus snoRNA Afu_190". The record is from Rfam by way of RNAcentral. Lineage: Eukaryota; Fungi; Ascomycota; Eurotiomycetes; Chaetothyriales; Herpotrichiellaceae.
UCGUGAUGAGAAACACAGCUGGCACCAGGCUGAGAAGACUUGUACUCUUUGCAUGCGGAACAGCUUUCCAAGGCUUAUAAGCCGAUCAUCUGAA